This is a non-coding RNA of Arachis ipaensis, 905 nucleotides long. The record is from RefSeq and is a predicted model, not a curated record. NCBI's taxonomy places the organism in Eukaryota, Viridiplantae, Streptophyta, Magnoliopsida, Fabales, Fabaceae.
AAACACAACCUAAACACACUAAGUGCAGCUGCAGAAGUGAGAGAGAGGAGGAAGAAGUGGUAUUAUUCACUCUCUUCUUCAAUCCAUCAUAUCUCGAGCUACGGUGCUCUGAUUCGCGUACCGUCAGCGGCUAUGCGAAACUCUUGCCGAGUCCGUUACUCUCAUCUAACAUUUGUAGGUAUUAACCAUUAGUGAGGGAUUGUUGGGUUCUAUCCCAAAUUUUAGUUCAUAAGUUUGAAUAUUGGAGCUUGUUGGAUGUUCAUUGGAUAUUUGGGAGCAUUUGGAGUUAAAUUGGUGGCUUGGUUUAAGCUUGGUGUGAUCAAUUAGUGAUUUUGUACAUAUUGAGAAUCGGCUAAGGUUCGGAAGGAGGUGGCGAUGGAUCGCAUGGCGAUUAGGCUGGCGAAGGCUAUGGGACAGUGGAGAAUUGUUAGAUUAGAAAUCCACUAAGUUAGAUUAUCCUUUUCAUUGUGGUUUUUAAAGUUAAUGUUUUAAAGUUUAAUUAUAUUUUAAGCUUGAAUCUUGUGGUGGAUAUGAAGUUCUAGGAUUGCCUCUGGCGUCCCAGAGUCUUAUAUCUUACAUCACUGGCACUGUUAACAUAAUGAGAACCUUUGGUUCUCAUACCAUAUUCUAUUGUUGUUUUUCAGAUGCAGGUCGUAACUCACCUCGGUGAGUUUCUUGACAGUGACAAAGCGAAGGAUCCUUGCUAUGUUUUGGAAGUCUUUUGGUUUAUUUUGUGUAGAUCUCUCACUUUUGUAGUUAUCUAUGCCUCAGAGGCUUACUUUGAGAGAGAUAUUGUAUAAGCUGUUUUACUUUCAAAACUCUGUAUGUAUGUAUAUAACUAGCUGGCUUAAAUUUCGCGGGCGGCAGCUAGAUCCUUAUGACUAUUAUACUUUGAUAUAUCUUUA